CAGCAGGCCUGCCCCCUUCACGUCUCCACCUUCAUGCGGAAAUACAACCAGUGAUGAUUUUACAUCCAUGGAUAAAACGUUCACACUGUUCUGUGUGCCCCACGGAUGUUGUACCUGAUCUGUGCUUACCCUCAUGGAUGUGGAUUUAUGACUGUUAUGACUGCCUGGAUAUGAGCAGCUACAAGAGGAACUACAGAGGGAGGGAGAGUCUGAUCGGGUUCUAGAUAACUCUGUUUCAAGUAGACCUGCAGGACCACCAAGACAAUUGAAUGUUCGUUAAGCCCCCUGAAAGAUGGAGGAGGAGAAGCAAGUUCAGACUUGAAGAUACAGCCCCAGCAACUAUCCAGGGAAGGACUUCAUAAGACUUGGGGUAUAAAUCCAACCCACCUAAAGAAAAUCAUAGUUUGAACUCUAUUAAAACAAAAUGAAGCUUUCGGGGAUAUAACGGUUGCAAGUGAUGCACAAAUCGUAAUGCCAUCAGGUGCCAUAAUCUAUUCUAUAAUGGGUUUCUUUUAAACAUUUUUUUAGGGGAUAGAAGGACUACUCACAGUCGGUGUUGUUUCGAAAUUGAAUAUUAAUUACAGCCUGGCCCAGUUCAUUCAUGCUGAUACAUUGGAUGUUGUGGUAGCAAGCAGCAGGCAUGGUGAUGAUGCUAUUCACUGUCUCGGAGCUGCUAGAGCUGGUGAAUGAGAAGUCUGUAACAGAGGCCAAAGACCAGCUGAUUUGUGGCAGGGGAUUCCCUCGACUGAUGCACACACACACCACAACCUUUCCUUUAACCAUGCACUGGGGAAGAUUUAGGAUUUUAGGAGGAACUGAACGAAAGAAAGAAGGAACAUAAGAUUAGGUCUGUGUGGGAUGGAACCAUGUUAGAUUGAUGUCCAGUCAAACCAAUGCGGCAGCCGUUACUUACAUUCUACUCUCAAUGUCUCAAUUGUACCAAUGGAAAUGUCACCAUAGCGUGCCACACAUGUGACUUUGGUGUUGUGGUCAACUGCUGUAGGAUUGAAGUGUAAAACUCUUAUAGCAUUAACGCGAGUGUAAUUAGUCCGACAUAGCAUGGACCGCUUAACAGCAUUUGUCCAUUCCCAGCUGAAACGAGGCGUUUGAGUGCACAAUAUAUCAGCUUUACAAUUCGGUGAGCCAGAUUGUCCCUCUGUCAAGAUAGUAGUCCAAACAUGUGGUCUUUUGGUUAAUGCUGAAAAAUAAAAAAACAGUACACAUUACAAUAAACACAACAUUAUUGUGAAAUUAUUACUUAUUAAUGAGGCUUGAUGUCAGUCUGCUGGCAGGGGGCAUUUAUACAAUAGAUUUGAUUUAAUCAUGUCAAACAACACUGUUUUUGCAUCACAGCAGCUCCAUUUUCAACAUCAACAAGGGCAGAUAUCAAUACAAGAUACAAGGAAACAGACAUUUAACAUAACAUUUCAAUCACUCGAGACAAUAUGUGUAAAAAAUACAUAAAGAAAGCUGGUAAAGUGAACUUAUUGUCUGAAAUUUCUGAGAGUGAGAUGAAAAGAUCAGUAUCACACGUUGUGUCAAGAACGGAGCUGGUGGAAACGGCUAACCUGACUACUACUCCACAUUUAACCUGUUUGAUGAACAAACUGAAACUUAAAAUGUGUGUAGUAUUAGGGGGGAGUUGCAUGUUAUAAAGAUGUUGUUACUGCAUAUUUCAUUUAUCCCUUCAAGUGUUGCUUUCUGCUGUGUUUCUCACCAGAAACUGAGAUCCAAACCUUUGUUGGAAAAAUAUACGUCUGGUUACAUUCCCAUUCCCGUCUUCAGCCCAACUCAUGCUCUCCCUCUGGCAGAUAAUUUAUCUUUAAAGUCAAUUGCAUCUUAGAAUUUAUAUUGUAAACAUAGGUCGUAGAUGCAAUAUUUUGUGGCUCUCCUUUAAACCAAAUCCUUCGAUAUGGGACUGUCACUGUGUUUGUUGGAAGGCUUAAUUUGUACGGGAUGUAAAUGCAUUUCCCAUAUUCUGCUUUAAUGUGUUUGGUCAUAUUGAUUGAAAACUCUUGAGUCAUUGAGUUUUUAUGUGAAAGAAAGCAAAAAUACUACAACUAACUCCCUAUUAUAUGCAGUGUGGGGUUUAUUUUAUUAAUCAUUUACUAAAAUAAAACACUUCUUA
This is a long non-coding RNA of Eleginops maclovinus (Patagonian blennie), 2128 nucleotides long. RefSeq lists it as uncharacterized. Lineage: Eukaryota; Metazoa; Chordata; Actinopteri; Perciformes; Eleginopidae. The transcript is spliced from 4 exons. The record is from RefSeq and is a predicted model, not a curated record.